This 562-nucleotide ribosomal RNA is filed under the name uncultured bacterium. RNAcentral describes it as "partial 16S ribosomal RNA". It matches the Rfam family "Bacterial small subunit ribosomal RNA", at positions 355 to 928 of the family's 1533-position model. The record is from RNAcentral.
UGGGGAAUAUUGCACAAUGGGCGCAAGCCUGAUGCAGCGACGCCGCGUGAGGGAUGACGGCCUUCGGGUUGUAAACCUCUUUCACCAGGGACGAAGCGCAAGUGACGGUACCUGGAGAAGAAGCACCGGCCAACUACGUGCCAGCAGCCGCGGUAAUACGUAGGGUGCGAGCGUUGUCCGGAAUUACUGGGCGUAAAGAGCUCGUAGGUGGUUUGUCGCGUUGUUCGUGAAAACUCACAACUCAAUUGUGGGCGUGCGGGCGAUACGGGCAGACUAGAGUACUGCAGGGGAGACUGGAAUUCCUGGUGUAGCGGUGGAAUGCGCAGAUAUCAGGAGGAACACCGGUGGCGAAGGCGGGUCUCUGGGCAGUAACUGACGCUGAGGAGCGAAAGCGUGGGGAGCGAACAGGAUUAGAUACCCUGGUAGUCCACGCCGUAAACGGUGGGUACUAGGUGUGGGUUCCUUCCUUGGGAUCCGUGCCGUAGCUAACGCAUUAAGUACCCCGCCUGGGGAGUACGGCCGCAAGGCUAAAACUUAAAGGAAUUGACGGGGGUCAUAGCUG